This 305-nucleotide long non-coding RNA is filed under the name Anser brachyrhynchus (Pink-footed goose). RNAcentral describes it as "lncRNA (ENSABRG00000003708.1)". Lineage: Eukaryota; Metazoa; Chordata; Aves; Anseriformes; Anatidae. The record is from RNAcentral.
GUUUAGCUUUCAUCUUUAAGCCUGUUACUAUAUUUUAAUGAACAUUGUCACUGCCUUUAAUCUGGUUUAUUCCUCCAACUUUGGUUCAGUCAGACACACUAGUGCAAGGCUGUUCCUCCUAAGGACAGCAAGUGAAGGGAGAGGAAACAUCCCAACAGGAUGACCCAGGACCGCAGCUAGACUGGCAGGAUUUUAAGGAAGAAAGCCUGCCGGCCUGGACAACGAGGAAGUUCCCUACACACACAGAGAAGCAUUUACCCGGGAUUGGUGACACUGUUGUUCAGUCUUUCUCUUGCUAAGAGGGA